Molecule: ribosomal RNA, 474 nt
Filed under: uncultured bacterium
Lineage: Bacteria
Description: partial 16S ribosomal RNA
Rfam family: Bacterial small subunit ribosomal RNA
Source: RNAcentral
GACGAACGCUGGCGGCGUGCUUAACACAUGCAAGUCGAGCGGUAAGGCUCCUUCGGGAGUACACGAGCGGCGAACGGGUGAGUAACACGUGAGUAAUCUGCCCUUCACUUCGGGAUAACCACCGGAAACGGUGGCUAAUACCGAAUACGACCAGUCUUCGCAUGUGGUGCUGGUGGAAAGUCUUUUCGGUGAGGGAUGUGCUCGCGGCCUAUCAGCUUGUUGGUGGGGUAAUGGCAUACCAAGGCUUCGACGGGUAGCCGGCCUGAGAGGGUGACCGGCCACACUGGGACUGAGACACGGCCCAGACUCCUACGGGAGGCAGCAGUGGGGAAUAUUGGACAAUGGGCGAAAGCCUGAUCCAGCAACGCCGCGUGAGGGAUGACGGCCUUCGGGUUGUAAACCUCUUUCAGUACCGACGAAGCGCCCUGUCGGGUGGUGACGGUAGGUACAGAAGAAGGACCGGCCAACUACGUG